RNAcentral lists this ribosomal RNA (833 nucleotides) under uncultured marine bacterium. RNAcentral describes it as "bacterial SSU rRNA". It matches the Rfam family "Bacterial small subunit ribosomal RNA", at positions 60 to 885 of the family's 1533-position model. The record is from RNAcentral.
AGUCGAGGGGCAGCACAAAGAUAGUUUACUAUUUUGGUGGCGACCGGCGCACGGGUGAGUAACGCGUAUGCAACCUACCUUAUACAGGAGUAUAGCCCGAAGAAAUUCGGAUUAAUCCUCCAUAGUAUUUUCUAAUGGCAUCAUUUGGAAAAUUAAAGCUUCGGCGGUAUAAGAUGGGCAUGCGUCCUAUUAGCUAGAUGGUAAGGUAAUGGCUUACCAUGGCAACGAUAGGUAGGGGGCCUGAGAGGGUGAUCCCCCACACUGGUACUGAGACACGGACCAGACUCCUACGGGAGGCAGCAGUGAGGAAUAUUGGGCAAUGGAGGCAACUCUGACCCAGCCAUGCCGCGUGCAGGAAGAAUGCCCUAUGGGUUGUAAACUGCUUUUAUUUAGGAAUAAACCCUUCUACGUGUAGAAGGCUGAAUGUACUAAACGAAUAAGCACCGGCUAACUCCGUGCCAGCAGCCGCGGUAAUACGGAGGGUGCAAGCGUUAUCCGGAAUCAUUGGGUUUAAAGGGUCCGCAGGCGGACGUAUAAGUCAGUGGUGAAAUCCUGCAGCUUAACUGCAGAACUGCCAUUGAUACUGUACGUCUUGAAUUCGGUCGAAGUGGGCGGAAUGUGUAGUUUAGCGGUGAAAUGCAUAGAUAUUACACAGAACACCGAUAGCGAAGGCAGCUCACUAGGCCUGGAUUGACGCUCAGGGACGAAAGCGUGGGGAUCAAACAGGAUUAGAUACCCUGGUAGUCCACGCUGUAAACGAUGAUUACUCGUUUUCGGCGAUAUACAGUCGGAGACUAAGCGAAAGUGAUAAGUAAUCCACCUGGGGAGUACGA